UAAGCAUAUGAAUAAGCGGAGGAGUAGAAACUUACGAGGAUUCCCUUAGUAACCGCGAGCGAAACAGGAAAGGCCCAGCAUGAGAAUCGGGCUCCCCUCUGGUUGCUCGAAUUGUAGUCUGUAGAAGCUUCCCUGGCACCAAACUGAGCCAGAGUCCCUUAGAAUGGGGCACCAUGGAGGGUGAGAGUCCCUUGAGGCUUGGAACCUGACGCAAUGCGGGGUGCUAUCGCAGAGUUGGGCUGUUUGGGAGUAUAGCCCCAAUGGGGCGGUAAGUUUUGUCCAAGGCUAAAUACACACGAGAAACCGAUAGCGAAUAAGUACCGCGAGGGAAAGAUGAAAAGGACUUUGGAAAGAGAGUUAAAGAAUGCUUGAAAUUACCGGGAGGGAAGCAAAUGAAGGCCAAUGCUCCAUUUGAGGCGGAUACGGGACAUGGAGAUGUCGUCCCACUGCUCGGAUUCGGACGGAGAGCCGCACGGGCCUUGGUGGCCACAAAAGUGCUAGGGAGAGCCUCUUAGCAUGUCGUCAUUGAUAGGGUCGAGGCUCAUAGCAUGCGUACUUGUGUGGGAUGUCGUGGGCCUGCAUGCUCGAGGUGUGGAUAGUGGGCCUUCCAUUCGCUUGUCUUAAAACACCGAUCAAGGAGUCUAACAAGUGUGCGAGUCGUGGAGUGAUGAAACUUGCACGGCAAAAGGAAGCUGAGAGGCGGAACCCUGCCAUAGCGGUGGGAGCACCGUCCACCGACCACGAUCUUCUAGAGAAUGGUUCGAGUGGUAGCAUGCUUGAUGGGACCCGAAAGAUGAUGAACUAUGCCUAAGCAGGGUGAAGCCAUAGGAAACUCUAGUGGAGGCCCGUCGCGAUACUGACAUGCAAAUCGUUCGUCUGACUUGGGUAUAGAGGCAAAAAACUAAUCGAACCAUCUAGUAGUUGGUUCCCUCCAAAGUUUCCCUUAAGAUAGCUGGAGCUCGCGAUGGACUUUUAUCAGGUAAAGCAAAUGAUUAGAGGCAUCAGGGGCGUAACAACCUCAACCUAUUCUCAAACUUUAAUUAGAUAAGACGGUGUUACUACUUUAUUGAGCGGCAUCUUGGAAUCGAGAGCUCGGAUGGGCCAUUUUUGGUAAGCAGAAUUGGCGAUGCAGGAUGAACCGAAAGCCGGGUUAUGGUGUCAAACUGCAUGCUAACCUAGAUCCCACAAAGGGUGUUGGUUGAUUAAGACAGCAGGACGAUGGUCAUGGAAGUCGAAACGCACUAAGGAGUGUGUAACAAUUCACUUACCGAAUCAACUAGCCCCGAAAAUGGAUGGCACUUAAGCUCGUGACCUACACCCGGUCGUCUGGGCGAAUGCGAUGCCCGGAUGAGUAGGAGUGCACGGGGAUCGCAGAGAAGCCCCUGGCGUAAGCUGGGGUGAACUGGCCUCUAGUGCAGAUCUUGGUGGUAGUAGCAAAUAUUCAAAUGAGAACUUUGAGGGCUAAAGUGGAGAAAGGUCUCAUGUGAACAGCACUUGCACAUGGGUUAGUCGAUCCUAAGUGACGGGGAAGCCCCAGGUGAAGGGAUGCGUCUCGCGUGAGUGCUCUAAAGGGAAUCAGGUUAACAUUCCCGAACUAGGACGUGGCGGUAGAUGGUGACGUCAGGAAAUCCAGAGACACCGGCGAGAACCCUGGGAAGAGUUAUCUUUUCUUCUUAAUAGCCCAUCCACCAUGAAAUCGGAUCAACCGGAGAUAAGGUCUAGCGGCUGGAAGAUCACUGCACGUCUAGCGGUGUCCGAUGCGCCCUCGGCGGCCCUUGAAAAUCUGGAGAACUGAGUGCUGUUCAUGCCCGGUCGUACUCAUAACAGCAUCAGGUCUCUAAGGUAAACAACCUCUGGUCAAUAGAACAAUAUAGGUAAGGGAAGUCGGCAAAACGGAUCUGUAACCUCGAGAAAAGGAUUGGCUCUGGGGGUUGAGCCUAGGGGUUUGCGGCCUGAAGCUAGCAGCUGCUAUAGGCGUGUCAGAGCCGCUUCCAUGGAGAAGGCGGGCCUGCACGUGCCGGUCAGGCAAAGGAAGCAGAACGCUUCCCCUCGCCCCCCAGGGUGGGGGAGGCUUGCCCUUGGCAAGGAAAAACCGUCUCAGAACUGGCUCAAACAAGGGGAAUCCGACUAUCUAAUUAAAACAAAGCAUUGCGAUGGUCCUUGCAUACGCUGACGCAAUGUGAUUUCUGCCCAGUGCUCUGAAUGUUAAAGUGAAGAAAUUCAACCACGCGCGGGUAAAUGACGAGAGUAACUAUGAAUCUCUUAAGGUAGCCAAAUGCCUCGUCAUCUAAUUAGUGACGCGCAUGAAUGGAUUAACGAGAUUUCCACUGUCCCUAUCUACUAUCUAGUGAAACCAUAGCCAAGGGUACAGGCUUGGCAGAAUUAGCGGGGAAAGAAGACCCUGUUGAGCUUGACUCUAGUCCAACUUUAUGAAAUGACUUAAGAGGUGUCGNNNNNNNNNNNNNNNNNNNNNNNNNNNNNNNNNNNNNNNNNNNNNNNNNNNNNNNNNNNNNNNNNNNNNNNNNNNNNNNNNNNNNNNNNNNNNNNNNNNNUAAGAUGAGCUCAACGAGAAUAGAAAUCUUGUGUGGAACAAAAGGGUAAAAGCCCAUUUGAUUUUGAUUUCCAAUGCGAAUACAAAUCAUAAAAGCGUGGCCUAUCAAUCCUUUAGACUUUUGGAACUUGAAGCUAGAGGUGUCAGAAAAGUUACCACAGGGAUAACUGGCUUGUGGCAUUCAAGCGUUCAUAGCGACGUUGCUUUUUGAUCCUUCAAUGUCGGCUCUUCCUAUCAUUGUGAAGCAGAAUUCACCAAGUGUUGGAUUGUUCACCCACCAAUAGGGAACGUGAGCUGGGUUUAGACCGUCGUGAGACAGGUUAGUUUUACCCUACUAAUGACCCGUGCCACCAUAGUAAUUCAACCUAGUAUGAGGGGAACCAUUGACUCACAUAAUUGGUCAUCGCGUUUAGUAUGAGAGGAAGCUACCAUGUGUCGGAUUAUGACUGAAUGCCUCUAAGUAAGAAUCCAUGCUAAGCGCGGCGCGCUAGCCUCCCCGCUUGCCGAUAGCCCACUGAUAAGAACGCCCUGAGCAUUUCACGUGGCAUGUGUCAGGGCGCACUCCAUGCGUCGCCUGUUGGAAUAACACAUGGAGUCCUCGAAGAGAAACUUCUCUCAAGCAUGGAGUGGAAUCCUUUGCAGACGACUUAAAUAUGCGAUGGGGUAUUGUAAGUGGCAGAGUA
Molecule: ribosomal RNA, 3234 nt
Filed under: Welwitschia mirabilis
Lineage: Eukaryota; Viridiplantae; Streptophyta; Gnetopsida; Welwitschiales; Welwitschiaceae
Description: partial 26S ribosomal RNA
Rfam family: Eukaryotic large subunit ribosomal RNA
Source: RNAcentral